CCGGCCUGGGAAACCGUGGGGUUUCUGGGGCGACGCCUUGGCGGGCAGUCACUGCCAGCGCAAGAAGCCUCCUGGCCGGCUGCUUCCAUCACCGGCGUCACCAUGGGGGCUGUACUGGGCGUCUUCUCUCUUGCCAGCUGGGUUCCAUGCCUUUGUAGUGGUGCAUCCUGCUUGCUGUGCAGUUGCUGUCCCAACAGUAAGAAUUCCGUUGUGACUCGAUUGAUCUAUGCUUUUAUUCUCCUCCUGGGCACUGUUGUAUCCGUUAUCAUGCGGACAGAAAGGAUAGAGAAUGAACUGAAGAAGAUUCCUGGAUUCUGUGAAGGGGAAUUUCAAGUCAAGGUAGCAGAUAUAAAGGCGGGUAAAGACUGCGAUGUGCUGGUUGGUUAUAAAGCUGUCUAUCGGAUCAGCUUUGCCUUGGCUAUCUUUUUCUUUGUCUUCUCUUUGCUCAUGUUAAAAAUCAAAACAAGUAAAGAUCCCAGAGCAGCAAUACACAAUGGGUUUUGGUUCUUCAAAAUUGCUGCCAUUGUUGGCAUAAUGGUUGGAUCUUUCUACAUCCCAGGGGGCCCCUUCACCUCAGUCUGGUUUGGUGUUGGCAUGACAGGGGCCGCUUUGUUCAUCCUCAUUCAGCUGGUGCUGUUAGUAGACUUUGCUCAUUCUUGGAAUGAAUUAUGGGUAAAUCACAUGGAAGAAGGAAACCCAAGGGUCUGGUAUGCUGCUUUACUCUCUGUUACAAGCUUCUUUUAUGCCGUCGCAAUCAUUGCCGUGGGACUGCUGUACAAAUUCUACACCAAACCAGAUAGCUGCACAGAAAACAAGUUCUUCAUCAGUAUUAACUUGAUUCUUUGCCUUGUGGUUUCUAUCAUAUCUAUCCACCCAAAAAUUCAGGAACACCAGCCUCGGUCUGGCCUCCUGCAAUCCUCUGUCAUCACUCUCUACACCAUCUACCUCACGUGGUCAGCCAUGACCAACGAACCUGAUCGUUCCUGCAACCCCAACUUGAUGGGCAUCAUUACACACAUAACUGCACCAACCCUGAUUCCAGCAAAUUCAACUGCUGUAGUCCCCACCUCUGCUCCACCAUCAGUGAAUGGGCACUUUAUGGAUGCAGAGAGUUUUUUGGGACUUUUGGUCUUUUUUAUCUGCCUUAUGUAUUCUAGCUUCCGCAACUCCAGCAACAGCCAAGUGAACAAGCUGACCCUCUCAGGGAGCGACAGUGUGAUCCUGGGUGAUACUGCCAAUGGAGCCAGUGAUGAAGAAGAUGGACAGCCUCGGCGGGUGGUGGACAAUGAAAAAGAGGGAGUGCAGUACAGCUACUCCUUUUUCCACCUAAUGCUCUGCUUUGCUUCCUUGUACAUCAUGAUGACCAUGACCAACUGGUACAGCCCUGAUGCCAACUUCCAGACCAUGACCAGCAAGUGGCCAGCUGUGUGGGUCAAGAUGGGUUCCAGUUGGGCAUGCCUCCUGCUUUAUGUCUGGACCCUUGUGGCUCCUCUCAUCCUCACGGGUCGGGACUUCAGCUGAACUCCCAAGUAUCAAGGACACUGCUGAAGAUCAGAAAGAGUAUUAUCUCUCCCUAAGAAGUUGCUUGUGCCUGCCCAGACUGCUUAUCGAAUGAAUUGCACAGAAAAAGCACACACAUAAAAAGAAAAAAAUGACAAUAUUUUGGACUGUUAAUCAAUAUUCUCAAGAAAAUCUCAUCAAGAUCUGGGUACUCCUUUCUUAGAAAGACAAAACUUCAAUUCCUAUGAAAAAAAAAUUGUCCAAAAGCUGUACCAGCUUGCAGUUUACUGUUCACGCUGAUUAAACCUACCCCUACAUAACCAGAUGUCACCUUUUCAAUCACAUACAUCUCAAAAGGGCUUAUAAAAAGGCAAAGACAAAAUCCAAUUGAGAACAAAACUUUGUGUGCCUGCCUUCUCCUAAAAAGCUGGAGGGGCAGGGGGGCUUCCACAUCUGCUCCAGACACAUGAGACAAAAAUUCACUUCCCAAGCUAAGAGCCGAAACCACACAGCAACAAGGUGCAGGCAGUAUGGUAAUAUCUGACUGUUUUGUAAAAGUCUUAUCAGUUGAGCACAGGGAGGGCAGAGAAGCCUGUCGGCUGGUUUCCAGGUCUCUUAGUGCCCUGAAAUCUAACUGCAUGCUUAUUUUAAAAUAAACAACUAAUUCUGGAAAGUACGUAGAACAGCAGGUAAAGUUGCUAACAUUGUGCCUAGUACAUGGUAAAGGCUGAAAAGAAUGAUCUAGACUACAAAGAGAGUUUGGUGAAUGACUAAGGAGACAGUGCUGUGGGGCUUACAGGCAGAAGGAGGUGUCAACUUACAUGGAGGUGUCCCUUCAAGAAGCAUGAGGGCUGCCAGCAUGCUCUCAUUUCCUGGCUUGCUUGGGAAGAACAAUGAAAUCUUACUUGCCAUUUUUCUGAGCUCUGGUCUGAUGGAAAUAUGGAGCCUGUGGGUGGAGUGGGGACUGCUCCUCCCUUUAUAGUGCAUUGUUCUCAUGGACCAGAAUAGGAUUACGAAUCAGAGACUGGAGCUCUAGCACCCCCCAGUCACUGGUCACCUUUCCAAAUGCUCCUGUGGGAAGGCUGGGGGGAGCCUCCCCUGCUGGAAACUUCUGUGCCAAAGAAAUGAGAAGAAUUGGGGAGGAGGUGUGUCUCAAGCAGUAUAGCACCUGUUUUGCAAGUCAAAGCCCUGACCCCAGUCCCACACCCCCCCAAAAAAAAAGAAAAAGAAGGAAGGAAAGGGAAGGAUGGAAGGAAGGAAGGAAGGAAGGAAGGAAGGAAGGAAGGAAGGAAGGAAGGAAAGGGAAGGACGGAAGGAAGGAAGGAAGGAAGGAAGGAAGGAAGGAAGGAAAAGACGUGAGAAGAAUCGACAUGGUAGAAAAUUUUUUUGGUAUUAUCGCUAUCCUAAUUCCUAAAUUGCUACCUACUUGCUAUUGUUUGAAUAGUAACAUUAAUAUAGUGGUGUAAACAAAUGUGAUAAUGUUUAUUUACUUUGGCUUUACUCAUACUUUCUGAAUAACAUUAAAGAAAAUGAACUUAGAAAACACAAAAAGAAAUGUAAGAUACCCUGAUUACUACUUUGAAGUGCUAAGAUCAACAGGUGAAUCUAGGGCUGGGUUGAGGCUCAAGUGGUAGAGCACUUGUCUAGCAUGUGAUGGCCUGGGUUUGAGCACUAGCACUAGGAAAAUAAAUACAUAAAUAAACAAAUAAAGCAAAUCCUAUAUGAAAAUAAUGAUACCUAUUAAAAAUUGCAAAAUAAAGGGGAGGGAUGAUACGGAGUCAUAAAGGGAGUGAAAAUAUGAUCAAAGUAUUUUCUAUGCAUAUAUAGGAAUAUCACAAUGAAACCCUUUUGGUACAAUUAACAUAUGCUAACAAAAAUGUUAAUAAAAAUAAUAACAAAAAUGAAAACAUAGACAGAUAGAUAGAUAGAUAAGUGAAUUCUGUCAGGACUUAACAAAGCAGGGAAAAGGGCAGGGUGGAGGAGGCACAGAGUGGCACCUGUGUAGUCAUUUGCCCAGCCCACACCCUCUCAAUGACACCUGUACUUAUUAGCUCACUCAGAGGAAAGGGGGUCUUGCCAGCUAAGCCUGUAUCCUAUGAUCAAGGGCAGAUUCCUCAGCCCACCAGAUUCUCUCCCCUGGGAAUCUAGAAUUUGCACUGAGGACAGUUAACUGGGCGACCAGGUAAGCCUGAGAGCCGAGAGGUAUCAGAUUUAGCUUUGCCAGUUUACAGGAAAAAAAGAUGUGAAGAAGGUAUGAAGGACAACAGAAAUGUGUGAUCCAGAGGACACAGACUAGUAGAGACAGGGAAGGGCCAGCUCAGCUCCCAGUAGCGCUCUGCUCCUAGUUCUAGGGCCUGGGAAGAGCUGCACCUUCAGCUAGCCGGGCUGGGAGGUGCUCCUGCCUCCUUACACCAAGUCCUCCCUUUACUUAUAAGUUAGUAUGAGUAGGGUUUUGUCUUCUGCAGGCAAAAGAACCUUGACUAAGACAAGGAGGGGAAAGGGCCUGGGAGAAGGCAGACUGUAGGCCAGGCACAGAGGGGCGUACCUGGGCGGAUGCAGAGGACAUGGCAGCCCCUGGGGUCUGUGUGGGGCAGCACAGUGAGGAAUCCGGAAUUGAGGACGUCUUUCAGGGCUGAUGGCCUCAGG
Molecule: non-coding RNA, 4146 nt
Organism: Castor canadensis (American beaver)
Lineage: Eukaryota; Metazoa; Chordata; Mammalia; Rodentia; Castoridae
Source: RefSeq, a predicted model, not a curated record